UGGGGAAUUUUGGGAUCAAUGGGCGCAAGCCUGAUCCAGCCAUGCCGCGUGCGGGAAGAAGGCCUUCGGGUUGUAAACCGCUUUUGUCAGGGAAGAAAUCUUCUGAGUUAAUACCUCGGGAGGAUGACGGUACCUGAAGAAUAAGCACCGGCUAACUACGUGCCAGCAGCCGCGGUAAUACGUAGGAUGCAAGCGUUAAUCGGAAUUACUGGGCGUAAAGCGUGCGCAGGCGGUUUUGUAAGACAGAGGUGAAAUCCCCGGGUCUCAACCUGGGGAACUGCCUUUGUCGACUGCAAGGGCUUGAGUGCUGGCAGAGGGGGAAUGGAAUUCCGCGUGUAGGCAGUGAAAUGCGUAGAUAUGCGGAGGAACACCGAUGGC
Molecule: ribosomal RNA, 378 nt
Filed under: uncultured bacterium
Lineage: Bacteria
Description: partial 16S ribosomal RNA
Rfam family: Bacterial small subunit ribosomal RNA
Source: RNAcentral